GUGUAAAAUGAAUCAUGUGGUUGAAUCACGUGAGAAUAAAUGAAUCGGGUGUACAAAAUGAAUCAUGUGGUGGAAUCACAUGCGAGAAUAAAAGAAUCGUGUAAAAUGAAUCAUGCGGUGGAAUCACAUGUGAGAAUAAAUGAAUCGGGUGUAAAAUGAAUCAUGCGGUGGAAUCACAUGCGAGAAUAAAAGAAUCGUGUAAAAUGAAUCAUGUGGUGGAAUCACAUGCGAGAAUAUAUGAAUCAGGUGUAAAAUGAAUCAUGUGGUUGAAUCACGUGAGAAUAAACAAAUCAGGUGUAAAAUGAAUCAUAAGAAAAUUCACGUGAAAAAAAAAAAACUAAUACAAUUAGUAAUAGUUAGAUCAUUUUACUGAAAACCGUGUCAAACCUUUGUCAGAUUGUUGUCUACGCUGGUUUUGUUUUGAGCGUAUACACGCUGAAGGAUUCGAUUUCAGACAUCAGCAGUGCUUAGUUCCACACAGAACCAACCGUUUGAUCUGAUUUGAUAAGUUUUAGAUGAAUACUUCUAAAUUAGUAGAUCAUACUUCUGUACGAUGUUAUUGUUUAAUAGCUGGUGAAAUGUGGACGGUUCUCGCAGUUUUGGCGGGAGGCGUUAAUUGGAGAAGGCCGUAUGUGGCGGCCCAGCGAGGGAGCACCAAAACCGGAUUAUCUCCUUAAGAUGAUCUUCAAUAUGGCUGCCAAUUCCUCACGGGUCAGCGGAUAUUCACACCCUCUGUCAUCUGCUGCUCAUCUCCACUGUGUGUGUUUCGUCCAACCGCCAAUUAGCCAGACUGGAGCAAUAAAGCAUAUGAUUCAAUUCUGCUGGAGCACUAAGGGUGAAUUGAACACAGUACGAGUGUACAGAAUCAGGCCAACAAACUUCACAAAGAAAAUACUACAACGCACGCUACGUUGCUUCGCGUAUAAUAAUCUGCUCUAUCGUGUCAUAAAAUUGACCGCAACCUUAGCCAAGUUAUCUGUAACCAAGGUAACAUGAUUUUAAGAUGUUGCUGAUUCAUAGUAGUGCUCUGUAGCAGAUGCUUAUCACUAAGAAGAUGAUUGCCUAGCAGGCUGUUAGCUAAAUCUUUUUUGAUAUUUAACGACUUUCUGUUCCAGCGACUAUCUAAAAUGGUAAUGGUUAGCUAGCAUGACAUUUUCUGUUCUAGCGACUAAAUCAGAUCGCAACUGCUAAUAAGAUGAUUAGCUACAAGGCUGUUAGCUAGAAAUUUUAGCGAAAAUUAUUACAUACAGGCUAUUAGGUAGGUAUUUUAUAGAUUAGCAAAAUUAUGACAUCAUCUGCUCUGUUCUGUUCUAGUGCCUCUCUGGAUUUGGUUCUUUUUUUCCCGCUAAAAAUUUAAUUUAAAUGUUACUGAGUGCUCGUGUGGGUAACGUCAGGAGAACACUGUUGCUGUGCAACUGGGAAACACGGGCUCCAAGCGCAAGCUAGCUGAAGACUGAGAAUAACAGUAAUAACUAGCUGCCUCGUAGCUGAUAGGUCUUUAAAUAAGUACAAAGUACAAACACGACGACGGCGUAAAGGAGACAAACUGGUGGACAAUGUCAACAUUUACCUCAGACGUGUUGCUAAGAAAAUACUCUGACUGACCAAAAUGGCACAGUGAUUACACUUAGCUUCGGAUGCUAACCUAAAUUCCAUCGGCUCUGACAUCAUUUGAAUGCAUAUAAAACGUGUAUGACUGAAUAUGAAUUUUACACAACAUUAAAAUGAAAUAUUACUGAACUUUCUGCAUUUGGCUUACAUCAUUACGCUUCUCUCGUUAUUAUAAACCUUUAUUUAAGCGUCUCCGCAGAUAAGUCGAGACGUUCCUCUGCGUCCCAGAUCCUCACGUCAACCGCACGUCUAGUGCCAGCUAGUUCUUCUUCUGCGUUUUAUUAAAUAAAAAAAGCAGUCACGCUGAUAAACAUUUUCUUAGCACUCCGAAACGAGGUGAAGUUAUCUUCCUAGCUGUAAAUCUACAAAAGGAAAGAAAAAAAAAAAAAAACUUUAUUAUCCCCUUUGACUGAUGAUAAACAGACUCCAUAUUUGCAUCAGCGCCAGGGAGCGGCUACUAUCUGGAAGCCCGGCGUGAUUAAUGAAAGCGGGAUAGCUCGGAUAGCAAACUUCCCGAUAAAAAGUCUUUCAAAUAAUAAAUUGUAAACGUAGCAUCCAAGAAGAACAAGAAGAAGAUGGUAAUUCCGAGCAGUGGUUAGUGUUAGCAUUGGCGGCAGGUGGAGGUGCUACGUAGACGUAUCGUUCCGUAUCGUGCCGUAGGCCGUGUUUGGCUGACCUCUUCUGUUCUGAUUAGCCACAAGAUAGAGAGAAAAAGAAAAAAAAAUGAGAGGGAGAGAGAGAGAGAGAGAGAGCGGUGGGGGCUCGUUCUCUUCAGCGUGGUGUAACAGGAGCUACUGUAUUGCUAUCACCUGCAGCCCGGCACUGAAAGCCGAAGGAAAUUGAAAUGCCCAGAGAAGCCCGGCAGUAAUUAAUCAUUGCUCUGUGAAGCCUGUCAAGAUUCCUCCAGACACCUCGAUAUUGCCGUCAGUUGCACCUCUGCCAUCUGUAAUUGUUUAAAACGGUAACCCGAUCCUGGCGUGAGGUUCACGCAGACUUGAGAAGCUCACGCUAGCCGGCUGAAGACACCUACCUUACAGCCAGGCUUUCCAAAAAAAAAAAAAAACCUGUUUUUCUCUGCAGCAAAAGCUAUUUUAAGUAUCAAAAUAAUUCAAAAUUUUCAAUAUAUUUCAAUCCAGUAUUGCUUGUAGUUUCACAGAUUUUGUUAGCAAGUUGGCUAAUACAAGCAAACUGACAGGAUGCGAUAAUUCAUACGACUGUUUCAUUAACCGUCACUGCUAAUGCUAGCUAGCGAACGUGAACUAACCUGACAGGAGUUCUGAGAGGAUUUCAAUUUGUGUAACUGUGCAUCAUCUUUAGGCUAAUGCUAGUCGGCUAACAAACACGAGGCUGACAUUAUUUCUGAGAGGAUUUUCAUUUGUACAAGUGUUUAUAAUCGUCAGCUAGCAGACGUGAACUAACCUGACAGGAGUUCUGAGAGGAUUUUAAUUUGUAUAACUGAUUGAUUAUCUUCACUGCUAAUGCUAGUCAGCUGGGGAAGGUACUGUAAGAUAACUGUGAGUACAAUCAUAAAAGUACUUCUGAUGGUCUGUGUUUACUCGGGAUACAUGUGGGGCGUGGCUUCUAUCAAUCCUACUGAAAGAGGUGUGGCCUCCUUGCCUUUCAGUUUACGUGAAGGAGGUGUGGUUGUGUCCAUCAGUCCCAGUAAAGGUGGAAUGGCCUGUGUCCAUCAGUCCCAGUGAAGGAGGUGUGGCCUGUGGCCUUCAGUCCCAGUGAAGGAGGUGUGGCCUGUGUCCUUCAGUCCCAGUGAAAGAGGUAUGGCCUUUGUGUAUCAGUCCCAGUGAAGGAGGUGUGGCAUGUGUCCUUCAGUCCCAGAGAAAGAGGCAUGGCCUUUGUGUAUCAGUCCCAGUGAAGGAGGUGUGACCUGUGUCCUUCAGUCCCAGAGAAAGAGGUGUGGCCUUUGUGUAUCAGUCCCAGAGAAAGAGGUGUGGCCUGUGUCCUUCAGUCCCAGUGAAAGAGGCAUGGCCUUUGUGUAUCAGUCCCAGUGAAGGUGUGGCUUGUCCCACCAGUCUUACUGGAUUACAGUUAAGAAGGCAUGGUUUAUGGCUUUCACGCCCUGUGAAGGAGGCGUGGCCUUUGUCAAUCCCAGUCAUGAAGGUGCAUAUUCCGUGUGCCUAAAAUCUGCAUCUGUGUUCUGGUUGAACCUGAAGUUUUCUGGACCAGAAAAUUCCAGACAGACACUUUAAAUGAAGAAACAACCAAAAUCCACUGCAUGGAAAUAUUGCAAAUCAUAUUUUUAAUUGUGUAUCUUUCAAAAAUAUGUAAUUGUUACAGAUUUUGGAAUACUUUUUAAAAUGACAAACUGCACCUUUAAUAACAGGCCACGUUCCUGCCAUCUGUAAAUGUAUUCUAUGUUCAUUUAUUUCUCACAAGAAGCUCAGUCUCAGGCCAGGUUUCUCAAUAGCGGGCCCCGUGAGACCCCUCGCGUAAUUUCCAUUAACCGGCUCAAUGCAAAUCUUUCACUUUUAGUCCACUGGGACAUUGGCACUGACGGGCAUUCGCUUACAGGAACAGAUGUCCAAGAAAUAUCAUCUCCUCCAGCGGGCCAAACGAUGACAAGCCGAGACGUUUCUGCUGGUUCUUUUCUUUUUUUUUGUUCUCCGCGAUUUUUGUUAUUUCUUUC
Ictalurus punctatus (channel catfish) is the source of this 4252-nucleotide long non-coding RNA. The record is from Ensembl. Lineage: Eukaryota; Metazoa; Chordata; Actinopteri; Siluriformes; Ictaluridae.